Molecule: non-coding RNA, 1890 nt
Organism: Taeniopygia guttata (zebra finch)
Lineage: Eukaryota; Metazoa; Chordata; Aves; Passeriformes; Estrildidae
Source: RefSeq, a predicted model, not a curated record
CCCCGCCCCCUCUGCGCCCGCGCCGCUCCCGCGCCGCCCCCCCCCCGGCAGUGCGGUGCUGCGCCGCGAACAUGGCGUCGGAGGGGAUGAUCCUGACGAACCACGACCACCAGAUCCGCGUCGGCGUCCUCACAGUGAGUGACAGUUGCUUCAGGAACCUUGCCGAGGAUCGUAGUGGGAUAAACCUUAAAGAUCUGGUCCAAGACCCUUCUUUGUGAGUAUCUGGCUCUUAUUGCUAAGCAAAGAAAAGCUUCUUCCUGAUAUCCUUGUGAGUAGUUUUGUAAUUAUAUAAAGAAGUAGUAUGAUGAAGUACACAUAAUGCCUUAGUGGUUUAUGGUUGUCAACUUGUUAGUCUUUAAUACAAGCAAGUAUUAUUAAAAACACCUUAUUUUUAAUAUAAUUCUGAAGUAACAUCCAGAGAGCACAUACAGUAAAGGGUUUAAGAGUCAUCAGAGGGUAACAGAUUGUGCAUACAAUUCCUCUAUAGAAAUACUAGCAUGCACAUUGUUGCCCCCCUUUUUUUAAGGCGGAAUUGCAUAUAAAUUAGAAUAUUACUGGAUAAUUGUUAUUGUCAAUUACCUUAAUCAAGAAUCUGUUUUCUUUGUAUCUGAUUUUAUACAGCUGAUAUGUGUUUCUUCCCCUACUACCUUUUUCAACUUAAGUAUAUGUGUACAUCGUCUAAAUUUUGCUUCAUCACAAGCCUGCUUGGUCUUUAUCUUUCUCUAAAAUCAAAUUCAAUUUCAUGAACUUUGAGCUGGACUUGAAAUUGUAUCAGACCUUCUUGGUCAUUCAGUUUUUUGUUUGUGGUUUUCUUUUGUUCAUGGGGUUUUUCUUCUCAUCUGUUAACUUUGGUACUAGCUGAAAAUGUUCUUGCUAGUGUGUGAGUGUGACAGAAAAAUAAAAAAAAUUUGCAUCUUUUUAACAUGAAUGACAGUGCAUUCCACAGUGAGCUCUAAUGUGCUGGUCCUUGCUGCUGAAAGAGCAGAUUUUUCAGUACUGAUUGAAAAAUAGUAAAAAAUAAGGUGCAUUUGGCAUCUUAGUUUAGUUACAGGGAUUUAUAGUAAUUGUGUAGAUAUAGAAUUUAUUUUGUCAUGUUGCUAGAGGUAAAUGACAUAAAUGCACAUGUACAUGUAUCCUUGGGCGAUUUUGAUAAUAGUGUACGUGAUGAUUUAUACAUUUGAAAUAGAGGUACAAGAGGCAAGUAUAAUUGUUGCUUGAUAUGUAAAGAGUGAAUGCAAUAGAUAAAUUUUUAAUAGUUACUGUUUAAGUGUUGAAGUCAAAGCUAUUUGAAAGGUCCUAAUUUUCAAAGUUUUUCUGUUGAGUGGUGUCUUUUGAGUAUUUUGGUUGGUUGGCUUUGAUUCUUCAUUUGUUUGCUUCAGAAUUUAUAUGUGGGUUUUGCAGCUGCAGGUAGGCUUGUGUGUUACAUAUAAUUUUGGGCUUGCACCUUUUGAGUUUACUCUCAGAAAGUUUAAAUGCCUUUGUUGUAGAAAACUAUUUUCUAUAUUUUUUACCAGAAGUGAUGGAAUCUUUUCAUUUUCUUCCUUGACCAUAACUCACAUGAAGAAUAUUGUAAUAAAUUAUUGUAAUGUUCAAAAGAAAUUAAAUAGAUUUCUAUUUCUUAUGGCACAAGAAGCACAAGUGACAGCAAUGUAGCCAUUUUUGUCACUUUGAAAGACUGAAUAAAGUCUCAGCCCUUAGAUUUCAAGGGCUGCUUAUGAUACUUUGCUAUAUGACAGAUUACAGUUCAAGAAAAGUGUCCUGUUUCUGCUGAAUGAUAGGAAUAUAUAGACUUGGGUUUGUCUUUCCAAAUCUAUAUUCUUGCUGUUUUAUGACUGAGCACCUAUUAAGAGUUCUUGCAAAAUGUGUAAUGGUGUGAGAGAAUCUCCAAAA